Molecule: long non-coding RNA, 1662 nt
Filed under: Cricetulus griseus (Chinese hamster)
Lineage: Eukaryota; Metazoa; Chordata; Mammalia; Rodentia; Cricetidae
Description: lncRNA (ENSCGRG00015032706.1)
Source: RNAcentral
CCAUCCCGGAACAGGGACCGCUCCGAUUCUGCCAUCACCUCGCCACAGAAAAGUUCUUUACUCCUUUUGCCUUCAGAUUUCUCCCAGGGACUAGAACUUGGCCUCUGGAUUACAGGGAGGGUGGAAGUCAUGUCCUUCCCUACACAGAGAGAAAGCGGACCCACGGAGUGGGGUCUGGAGGAAGUCCCUCCCCUUAAUUGAUUUUCUGUAGUGCGGAAUCCGCAGUGCAGAUUUGAAUUUUGCUUUUCAGUAGCCUGCGUUUGCCAGGAGGGUGCAGCCAGGACGAAGAAGCUCGAGUUGGAGACGAGACUGACGGUUGGGGUCACAGCAAGGUCCUUAUGUAAACUCCCCUUCCUCCUGCCCUUCUCCUUCCAAGCCAUUCAGUUCCUGGGGACCUAGUAGACUGCCUUCCCUUUCCUCUAUGUGGAGAACCUUCUUUUUCCAACCAGACAGUUGCCUGAUGAAAUGCUGGAGCUCAGUUCAUUCUGCCUCACCCCUGGCUAAGAGAAAGCAGCAGGCACCAGCGGGGCAGUCGCGUUUCAGGUGAUGCGUACCUGAGGAAGUCUCUACCCUCUCCCGACCCUGAGAUAAGCUGUGUGGAAGGUACAGGCCAAAGUGGCUUAUCUGAGAUUCGGGGUCAAGAGACAGAAAGCUGUGGUGCCUCUGAUGAAGGUGCUUCUCUUUCCCAGCCAUUGUCACCAGUAAGGAAACUGAGGUCUGAAGUGAGGGAGAGCCUGGCUUCUCUCUGUCCCAGCAAAACACUGUAAUUUCCGUCCAGAUGUCACUGCUCACCUCUGACUGGGCUGGGGUGGCAGACAGAGGCUCAGACGCUAAGAGGACAGAGAAGGCUGGGGACCAAGCGCCCCCAUCUUCCUAGCUGAGCUAGAAGAAAAGUUAAGUCUAGGGGGGCGACUCCUCACACCUCAGGUGAAGGACCCUGCUAGGACACAUCAGCAGCCGUAUGCUCAGGGGCUUCUAACCCAACACUCUUUCUGACCAGACUCUGCAAGAUCUCCAGAUAAAAGCAAAAGGGUUGCCGUGGGCGUGGAGAGCUCUCCACGGAGGACCAGAAGCAAAGAAUGCUCAAUACACCUCCUUCGUCUGUCCCCAUAGUACACCAGAGAUGGCCAAAAUGCUCCUGGCUGAGAUGACAGCAAUGUGAGUCUUCUGCUGCUCACCCUCUGCUGAACACUGGGCCUGGCACCACCCCUGCUCCUCUUUCUAUCCUUGCUGGGGAUGAGGCCAGAAGCCAAAGCUAAGUACCUGCAGGUCUACCUGGCCUGCACUUUCCAUGCCCAUGCUGGGGCCGACUUCAGAUUGCUCAGGGAUUGAUUGGUGUUACUGUGGGGACCUGGGGCACUGGCUGGCUGCCCACUAGAGAUACAUGGUUCUGCCUGAGUAGCUGCACCUUCACACCAAUGCUGUUGUCCACAAACUGAGGACCUGAGGUGUUACCGCAGUACAGCCUGGUCUCUGAUAAGCCACACUGAUGGCACCCUAGGCCAUACAGCACCAGAGUGCCAGAGAGGGGCACCUGCACGAUGCCAUCCAGGCUGGACUCCUGACCAGGCACUGUUCCCAGGGGCUUAUGACCUUCCUUCCCAGAGCUUCUGUCCAGCUUGAGUAUUGGCCACAGUGGCUGAACUGACAGCCAGAGGGAGC